Molecule: ribosomal RNA, 784 nt
Filed under: uncultured archaeon
Lineage: Archaea
Description: bacterial SSU rRNA
Rfam family: Archaeal small subunit ribosomal RNA
Source: RNAcentral
UUCCGGUUGAUCCUGCCGGAGGUUACUGCUAUCGAGGUUCGACUAAGCCAUGCGAGUCGAAUGUAGCAAUACAUGGCGUACUGCUCAGUAACACGUGGACAACCUACCCUUAGGUCGGGGAUAAACCCGGGAAACUGGGUAUAAUACCCGAUAGAUCUCGGCUGCUGGAAUGCACCGAGCUCUAAAGCUCCGGCGCCUAAGGAUGGGUCUGCGGCCUAUCAGGUAGUAGUGGGUGUAGCGUACCUACUAGCCUACGACGGGUACGGGUUGUGAGAGCAAGAGCCCGGAGAUGGAUUCUGAGACACGAAUCCAGGCCCUACGGGGUGCAGCAGGCGCGAAAACUUUACAAUGCUGGAAACAGCGAUAAGGGGACCUCGAGUGCCAGGUUACAAAUCUGGCUGUCGUGAUGCCUAAAAAGCAUUGCAUAGCAAGGGCCGGGCAAGACCGGUGCCAGCCGCCGCGGUAACACCGGCGGCUCGAGUGGUAACCGUUAUUAUUGGGUCUAAAGGGUCUGUAGCCGGCCGGAUAAGUCUCUUGGGAAAUCCAGCAGCUUAACUGUUGGGCUUUCAGGAGAUACUGUCUGGCUCGAGGCCGGGAGAGGUGAGAGGUACUUCAGGGGUAGGGGUGAAAUCUUGUAAUCCUUGAAGGACCACCAGUGGCGAAGGCGUCUCACCAGAACGGACCUGACGGCAAGGGACGAAAGCUAGGGGCACGAACCGGAUUAGAUACCCGGGUAGUCCUAGCCGUAAACGAUACUCGCUAGGUGUCGGCCACGGUGCGACCG